RNAcentral lists this ribosomal RNA (158 nucleotides) under Dermocybe malicoria. Its description in RNAcentral is "5.8S ribosomal RNA". It matches the Rfam family "5.8S ribosomal RNA". From Rfam's summary of the family: 5.8S ribosomal RNA (5.8S rRNA) is a component of the large subunit of the eukaryotic ribosome. It is transcribed by RNA polymerase I as part of the 45S precursor that also contains 18S and 28S rRNA. The record is from RNAcentral. RNAcentral also lists the same sequence under 1 other name. Lineage: Eukaryota; Fungi; Basidiomycota; Agaricomycetes; Agaricales; Cortinariaceae.
CAACUUUCAGCAGCGGAUCUCUUGGCUCUCGCAUCGAUGAAGAACGCAGCGAAAUGCGAUAAGUAAUGUGAAUUGCAGAAUUCAGUGAAUCAUCGAAUCUUUGAACGCACCUUGCGCUCCUUGGUAUUCCGAGGAGCAUGCCUGUUUGAGUGUCAUUA